This 314-nucleotide ribosomal RNA is filed under the name uncultured bacterium. RNAcentral describes it as "bacterial SSU rRNA". It matches the Rfam family "Bacterial small subunit ribosomal RNA", at positions 28 to 334 of the family's 1533-position model. The record is from RNAcentral.
GAUGAACGCUAGCUACAGGCUUAACACAUGCAAGUCGAGGGGCAGCAUGGUCUUAGCUUGCUAAGGCCGAUGGCGACCGGCGCACGGGUGAGUAACACGUAUCCAACCUGCCGUCUACUCUUGGACAGCCUUCUGAAAGGAAGAUUAAUACCCGAUAGCAUAAUGAUUCCGCAUGGUUUCAUUAUUAAAGGAUUCCGGUAAAGGAUGGGGAUGCGUUCCAUUAGGUUGUUGGUGAGGUAACGGCUCACCAAGCCUUCGAUGGAUAGGGGUUCUGAGAGGAAGGUCCCCCACAUUGGAACUGAGACACGGUCCAA